This 497-nucleotide ribosomal RNA is filed under the name uncultured bacterium. RNAcentral describes it as "partial 16S ribosomal RNA". It matches the Rfam family "Bacterial small subunit ribosomal RNA", at positions 28 to 507 of the family's 1533-position model. The record is from RNAcentral.
GAUGAACGCUGGCGGCGUGCCUAAUACAUGCAAGUCGAGCGAACAGACGAGGAGCUUGCUCCUCUGACGUUAGCGGCGGACGGGUGAGUAACACGUGGAUAUCCUACCUAUAAGACUGGGAUAACUUCGGGAAACCGGAUCUAAUACCGGAUAAUAUAUUGAACCGCAUGGUUCAAUAGUGAAAGACGGUUUUGCUGUCACUUAUAGAUGGAUCCGCGCCGCAUUAGCUAGUUGGUAAGGUAACGGCUUACCAAGGCGACGAUGCGUAGCCGACCUGAGAGGGUGAUCGGCCACACUGGAACUGAGACACGGUCCAGACUCCUACGGGAGGCAGCAGUAGGGAAUCUUCCGCAAUGGGCGAAAGCCUGACGGAGCAACGCCGCGUGAGUGAUGAAGGUCUUCGGAUCGUAAAACUCUGUUAUUAGGGAAGAACAAAUGUGUAAGUAACUAUGCACGUCUUGACGGUACCUAAUCAGAAAGCCACGGCUAACUACGUG